UCGCUACCAAAAUAUAACCCCUGGGUAGGCAGGGCAUAUCCAGAACUAGAAUUAGGGAUAAGCAUUGAGAAGAAAUUGUGAGAGUGAUGGAUGGGGUUAAAGCUCAUUUCUGGUUCAAGGAAGUAGUGGAUUGGCCCCAUCUACUGUAAGAAGCUGGCUCCUCUGUGAUGCUGUAAGGGGCUCUGAGGACACCAUCUUGGCAAACGGAUGGAAAUGCCUGGAAAAGCAGGACACCUUGCAAGGGAUGGGGAGAUGAGCACUAUAAAGGAACUGGAAGAGAAGCCCUUGGAUUUCAUAAGAGUCCUUUUGGUAUCUCUGAUUAAAGUGACAUGUGACAUCUGGGCAGCCACAAGCAGUCUUAGCAGCCAUACACUUCCUUCCUAGAACAGGGGACUGGAAAGUAAAGCCUAAUCCUAAAGAAAGAUAUCAGGGGCCACCAGCCUAAAUUUGGAAUGUAAAUGUAUUUACAGUCACCUUUAGAGCCUUUGAUUUGAAUGGAUUGUUUAAAUAUUCUACUUUGUAAUGUGGAAGUAUAAAAAAUUGCUUAAACUUAGCUAUCUGUGGGUUGAUGCUUCUCCUCACAACACUUGUGGCUCCCUUCCCUCAGAACUUUCCUUGUUUCUUACAGAACUGUCUUCCUUUAAAGAGCCAAGAAUUCAAUAUUUAGCUUUUGGAAAUGGAGGAUGAUUCCAGAGUGUGCAGUGCACAGCAGGCACUUGACAAAUAAAUACUUGUUGCACGAAUGAAGGAGAUGCAUACAAGACAGCCGUGAUAUUCACUACCUGAAAAGCUAAAAAAAAAAAAAGAAAAAAAAAAAAAAAAGAAAAAAGAGUGAUGGCCUCCAAACCUUCUGGUUUCUCUAAGUAUACUGGGCACAAUCAAUGUGAAGUCAAGCCCAUUCUGUAUAAAAAGCAGAAGACUUAGAAAUAUUUGAAAAUUAGCAAAAAGGUGGCUUCCAAAGCAGCCUAGAAAACAGGAUUAUGAGGGACCACAAAAUUUUGUGUCUGAGAUGAUAAAGAUUCCAAAUAUCCAUUCUAUUUUGUAGGCUAAGAGCACUAUUUUUAAGCUUUAAACGAAAUAGAUCAGACUACUAUAAACACGCACACACACGUGCUCUCUCUUCCAUUUACUUUCUGGGCUCUUUGAAUUGCAUAGUAGCAAUGCUACUGACAAUUUUUUAUCUAUGGAUAAUUUUGAAUCUUUCUGGAAAAUACUCUUUUUACAGCAAGUGCUCAUUUCAAGCUUGAGAUAAUUUCUGGGUCACAUUUUUACAGUAUGUAACCAACCCUGAAAAAGACUUUCUCAUAAGACGCCAGGUCAUUCACAACCAGUCUUAAGAAACUAUAUGUUUUCUGAGUGUGUGCUAAAAUAGCAAACUUAAAAGCAAGGCCAAAUCCUAAAGGUAGAUGGUUAGUGCCUGCUACCUAACUGAAAUAUAAAUGCAUUUACAGUUGUGUUGAGAUUCUUUGGGUGGGUAAAUACUCUUUCUGCUUUGUGAUAACAUAAUUAUCUGAUUAAGAAAUACAUUUAAUAUUAAAUAUUUUGGGACACCUGGGUGGCUCAGUGGUUGAGUGUCUGCCUUUGGCUCAGGGCAUGAUCCUCAGUCCAGGGAUCGAGUCCCACAUCGGGCUCCCUGCAAGGAUCCUGCUUCUCCCUCUGCCUGUGUCUCUGCCUCUCUGUUUCUCAUGAAUAAAUAAAUAAAAUCUUUAAAAAAUAAUAAUAUUAAAUAUUUUAUCUCAGGCCAUAUGCACAUUGUAUUCUCCAGAAUAAAAACUUCUUUGAGAGAGGCAGGCUCUGCUCAGAAUUACCAUUUGGGUGUAAUGAGAUGAAUGUUUCCCACAGAGUUACACUAACUUAUAGCUAAAUUUUCUUUGAGCUCAAUACUUUCAUGUCUUCUAGGAGUUAGGCUAUGAUAAAGUUGUGCCAUGACAUCUGUUAUAUCUUUCUUAAUUUAUUUUAUAAUAUUCUUUAUUAUGGGCCUUUUCUUUCUCUGGAUGAAUAGGCCUAAUUUUGCAGAAAUAUGCUUUGUAUAUAUUCAGUGAUCUCUCUAGUGAUCUCUCCAGCCACACGUAUGCAAACUUUCCAAAUGGAACAAAAUAAAAAACCAACCAUACAAAUAAAACCAUUGCGUCUUUACCACGGUCUUUAGUGCCCCUCACUUUUGCCUACUGUCUUCCUGGAGGGAGAAUAAUGGAUCAGUUUAUUUAUCUGCUAAAGCACCUCAGAAAUAUUUUUCUUUUUCCAUCUUUACAAUGACACAUUGCUAUCUCUUGUUGUCUUGCUGAUAAGAAAGUAACACCUGAGCCAAGAUCUGAGUGGGAGUUAGCCAUGUGACGGGUAGCAGGAGAAGCCUACCGUAGCAGGGUGCACCCCGAAAGGUGAGAAAGAGUUUAGUAUUUUUAAGUGAAUGGAAUAUGGCCAGGCUGGAUGGGGCAUAGAUCAGCAAGGCCAGUGAUUUGCCAGCAGGUUAAAUAAAUGGGCAUGAGUAAGGGGGAAACGAUAAAGAGGAAGGUGCUGAGAAUGGCGCUGGGUUUCUCCUGCUUGAGCACCUGGAGGGAGAGAGGGGUGAUUCACUAAGAUGUAGAGUCAUAGAGCAGCACAGCAGAGUAGAUGUUUAGUUUUUGACAUGUUAAGAAUGAGCCCCCUGUGUGAUAGGCAAGUAUCAAGUCGAGUCGGCAAUAUAAUCCUAAAGCUCAUAAAUGACGUCAGGGCUGGAGCUACAAACCCAUGAACCACUCACAUACUCAUGGACCAUAUCUGAAGCAAUGGGAGUGGAUAAGUGGGUAAUCCAUUACCGACAUUCAACAGCUUUACUCUGAAGAGUCUGCUCCCUCUUACAGCUACGACCAGAGAGCAUGGGGAGCUCAAUUUCUACCAUCAUGGCUUUGUACUAUAGUAGGCUCUUUCCAAAAAAUUAUUUUCCUUUUUUUAUUCCCCCCUACCCUGUUUUAGAACCAAAAGAGGUAAAAAGGACUAUAACAAUACAAAUUUCUGAAAGAAGUGUUCUGCGGGAAAGAAUGUAAUUUGCAUUAAAAAUAAAAACACAACAGAACAAAAAGUCCCAUGAAAAGCUAAAGAGAGUUCAUAAAAAUAAUUCUUAAUCAUUUCCUUUUUACUCAUAUUCCUUCUUCCAGCCAGGUCCUAUCAUUCUAAAUUUGACUUUGUAUGUGUAUGAGUUCUGUUUUUCCAUUCUGCAAAUAUCUGCUUUACUCACUGUGUGUGUAUAGAUGUAUUUGUAUGUUAUGGUCACAUGCACAUAUAUAUAACAUAUACAUAUAUAAUUAUAUAUACACAGUCUUUUCCUUAAAUAUAUGCUUAUUCAUGGCAAAUGAAAUGUAAGCUCCUGGAAAGGCUGGCAUAAUAUAUCAAUCAGUAGCUAUUCGAUAAAUAUUGCUGCCUGCCAAGAAUAUAAGAAGCUACAUAAAUAUGUUGGAUAUAAUGAUCCCCUAUGUUUAUUUUUUUUGCACUUAUUCCACGUUUUGCAGUCAACCUUUACUCUAUGGACUCUAGCUUCAUAUAUUUUGCUAUUUUCCAUAUUUGGGACUCUCGACUGUGGUAAUUAAUCUAUUAUUUUAUUAUUAUUAUUGUUAAAAAUGUUUAAGUAUAUGUGGCAUUCACUUUUAAUGCAUUAAAGCUGCUUUAUAAAAUCCUAUAUGCUACCCAUUAAUCGUUCAAAGGUCUCUGCUAACAUGUUUGCAGAUAAAGGCACGACAGUUUAUGAAUUUGUUAGGAAUUCCCUGUAUCAUAAUUCUAUGCAAUUCAGAACUUGUUCUACAGGAAAGGGAUCACUGAAACAUAUGUUAAAAGCUUUAUCACUUGUUUAUAAUUCAAUCUUGGAAUUUUAAAAUGGUGGUGUUUGGUAAGAAAAUCUAACCUGACAAAAUUCUCCUCCUAACCUUAAGAUACAACAGUCUACUUUGGCCACUUUGAGUCUCCACCCAAAAAAAUAAAAGGGAAUUGCUGGAGACCAUGAAGUAAUGAUUUUCUUUUCUCUGAAAUAAAUGACAAACAGACUUUAAGCUGCAUUCUUGGAAAAGUGAAGCAUAAUUUUUACUUCAUUUACUAAAGAAGAUAAUAAAUUUAUUUUUGAGAAUAAUACAAUCAUAACAGUAAGUCACAGUAAGGAUAUUUGAAUUUAUUGGUCUAUGUUCAUGUGUGCACUGAAAGGGCGGUCAGAAACACAACAAAAUCAUAGGACUCUAAGUAGCCACUGCUAUAAGUCUCUUACCUAGUUCCAGAUAUUAGGAAGACUUUGUUUUUGGUAUUUUGAAUCAUUUUUUAGUUGUUGACCUUUUAUUAAGAGUUUUAAGGGUUAUUUUCAGCAAUAAUUACCACCUUGGACACUGAUCCAAUAAAAUGAACUGAUGGAAACAUGAGCUAUUUGGAAAUAUUAGCACAGGAACAGCCAUAUGAAUGGAUGCAGAGAAAAAAAUCAUUAACUUCAUGCUAAGCUUUAGCUACAAUAACCAGAGAAUGACACCUGAUAGGACAAUAUUGCUGACAUUCUUGUUUAAAAAGCAUACAAGGAACUCCAACCACAGGACAAUGCAUAUUAGAUUACUGCACAUUUGCAUGACAUAAGCCAAGCUAGAAGCACAGAACGAAAGAGGUGCAGGAGAAAGGAUUCUGUUUUGCAGGGGAAAUAUUCAAAAGCAGAAAAGAAGCACAAAGGAAAUACCUUCAGAUCUCGCCUUUCCAGAUGCAAAAGUUCAGCCCCUCUGAUGUCAUGACGGAUGAAGAUUUCUUUGUACUCUCCCAAAUUGAGCAGAUCCAGCCAAGCAGCAACUUCCUCUGUGCCCCAUUUUUGAACUACCAAAGUUAAGAGCAAAACCCCCUUAAUUUCUACAUGCUUAAUGCAGUACAAAGCAAAGGUUGGCCAAAGAAGAUGCAAGACAGGGUACAGCGGCAGUGCUAGCAAAGGGAAAGGGCAAAGGUGUCGUGUUUCGACAAAACUCCCAUUUUG
This is a long non-coding RNA of Canis lupus familiaris (dog), 4963 nucleotides long. RefSeq lists it as uncharacterized. The record is from RefSeq and is a predicted model, not a curated record. Lineage: Eukaryota; Metazoa; Chordata; Mammalia; Carnivora; Canidae. The transcript is spliced from 4 exons.